AUGGGGGAUCUCCUCAGUUCAUCUUUCAGAGCCACAGAACACAGGCCCAAGGGCUCACCCGUCGCUGCUCCUGGGAGAAGACCUCAGCCACCGGGGCCUGGCUGGCCAGGACCCUCCAAUCCACCUGGGGUCUGCCAGGUACCGGUCCACCCGGCGGGAGAGUCCGAGCCUCAGUUCCCAAAACUGCCUCCGCCACCCCACCCCACCAACCGGCCCUGCCUCCGGCUCACGGCUGCCCUCGGGGCUCCGGAAUUUGCUACUCUUUUUCUUGGGAGGGUUUCCAGCCCCGGGGCCUCGGCCUCCACCUCUAGGGCCAUGGAAGGAUCGUUUCAACCAGAGGGGAGGGGGACAGAAUCCCACAAGCCAAAGCUACACAGCUCUCUCCACAUCCCAUCCCCUUCCUGCACUCUCCCAACUGCAGCACUACCACAUUCAUACUUUAUUUUUCAAGAAGGAAAUUAUCAAAAGAAAAGAAAACACACACACACACACACACACACACACACACACACACACAAGGUCCCCAUAAACCUGCAGAGUUUAGAGCCGGGGAAUAUAUUAAAAUUUUCCAUCAUGGAAAUUUCCCAGCCUUCUAAGCUCUUUGGUGCGUUUUUUUUUCCCCCUUUCUUUGCAGGACUGCAAGCAAAGAAUGGAAAUUUCCAAAUAGCAGCAUCAAGGGCUGCGGUGGUGCUGACAGUCUCGCUGUGCUGGGGGUCAUCUGCUUCUCCGAGGUCUGACGGGAGGCGAGGUUGGCCCGGCCUCCCUGGUCAAGGGCUCUCUGCCACCGCCUCUCGGAUCUUCCUGGGGACGGCGGGCGGGACCCCCGACUCCACUGGCCCGUCGGCCGGGCUCGGAGAUGCUCUUUUGGUGAGAUGGGUGGGCCUCUCUCCCCCGAAUCCCUCUGCUGGAGAGGAGCUGCGGUCGCCACCGUGGGACCACCUUCGGGGACCUACCCACGGCUCAGUCCCGGAGAUUGCACAAGGGUUUUGUAGGAUCGGGUGUGGCCUCGAGGGGCCCCGAGAGGCCUCGGCCAGCCGGCUGCUCUGCAGCCUCCUCCUCGAGGCUCCGCUCCUUUUCUCUACAUCGUUGCCCACAUAA
Molecule: long non-coding RNA, 1098 nt
Filed under: Ornithorhynchus anatinus (platypus)
Lineage: Eukaryota; Metazoa; Chordata; Mammalia; Monotremata; Ornithorhynchidae
Description: lncRNA (ENSOANG00000042049.1)
Source: RNAcentral